AACCCAUCACUCAGAACGUCAGUGCCGAGGCCUGGGGCAGAGCAGACUGUGGCUUCACCUCGGUGUCCUAUCAGCAAGGGCUCCUGUCUGCCACUGUCCUCUAUGAGAUCCUGCUGGGGAAGGCCACCCUGUAUGCA
This is a long non-coding RNA of Galeopterus variegatus (Sunda flying lemur), 137 nucleotides long. RefSeq lists it as uncharacterized. NCBI's taxonomy places the organism in Eukaryota, Metazoa, Chordata, Mammalia, Dermoptera, Cynocephalidae. The transcript is spliced from 3 exons. The record is from RefSeq and is a predicted model, not a curated record.